UUGACCUCAAAUCAGGUAGGAUUACCCGCUGAACUUAAGCAUAUCAAUAAGCGGAGGAAAAGAAACUAACAAGGAUUCCCCUAGUAACUGCGAGUGAAGCGGGAAAAGCUCAAAUUUAAAAUCUGGCGGUCGUUGGCCGUCCGAGUUGUAAUCUAGAGAAGUGUUACCUGUGCUGGACCGUGUACAAGUCUCCUGGAAUGGAGCAUCAUAGAGGGUGAGAAUCCCGUCUUUGACAUGGACUGCCUGUACAUGAUGGUGCGCUCUCGAAGAGUCGAGUUGUUUGGGAAUGCAGCUCAAAAUGGGUGGUAAAUGCCAUCUAAAGCUAAAUAUUGGCGAGAGACCGAUAGCGAACAAGUACCGUGAGGGAAAGAUGAAAAGAACUUUGGAAAGAGAGUUAAACAGUACGUGAAAUUGCUGAAAGGGAAACGCUUGAAGUCAGUCGCGUUGGCUAGAAAUCAGCCUUGCUCUUGCUCGGUGUACUUUCUUGUCGACGGGUCAGCAUCAGUUUUGACCAUUGGAGAAGGACAUUGGGAAUGUGGCAUCCUUGGAUGUGUUAUAGCCYGGUGUCGCAUACGAUGGUUGGGAUUGAGGAACUCAGCACGCCGCAAGGCCGGGUCUCUGACCACGUUCGUGCUUAGGAUGCUGGCAUAAUGGCUUUAAUCGACCCGUC
RNAcentral lists this ribosomal RNA (670 nucleotides) under Inocybe assimilata. RNAcentral's name for it is "eukaryotic LSU rRNA". It matches the Rfam family "Eukaryotic large subunit ribosomal RNA", at positions 1 to 653 of the family's 3401-position model. The record is from RNAcentral. Lineage: Eukaryota; Fungi; Basidiomycota; Agaricomycetes; Agaricales; Inocybaceae.